GCAGCUAUGGCGGAAUUGGCAGACGCGGCAGAUUUAGGUUCUGUUGGGCAUCCCCGUGCAGGUUCAAGUCCUGUUAGCUGCA
This 82-nucleotide transfer RNA is filed under the name Sarcina sp. DSM 11001. It matches the Rfam family "tRNA". From Rfam's summary of the family: Transfer RNA (tRNA) molecules are approximately 80 nucleotides in length. Lineage: Bacteria; Bacillati; Bacillota; Clostridia; Eubacteriales; Clostridiaceae. RNAcentral also lists the same sequence under 2 other names. The record is from Rfam by way of RNAcentral.